Molecule: ribosomal RNA, 253 nt
Filed under: uncultured bacterium
Lineage: Bacteria
Description: partial 16S ribosomal RNA
Rfam family: Bacterial small subunit ribosomal RNA
Source: RNAcentral
UACGUAGGCAGCAAGCGUUGUUCGGAGUUACUGGGCGUAAAGAGUGUGUAGGUGGUCCUUUAAGAUUGGUGUGAAAUCUCCCGGCUCAACUGGGAGGGUGCGCCGAAAACUGGAGGGCUCGAGUGUGGGAGAGGAAAGCGGAAUUCCUGGUGUAGCGGUGAAAUGCGUAGAUAUCAGGAGGAACACCUGCGGUGUAGACGGCUUUCUGGACCAUUGCUGACACUGAGACACGAAAGCGUGGGUAGCAAACAGG